UUACCAUAACUAGAGAAACAUAGGCUCUCAGUGCACAUAACACUCGAUAAGUCUAUUAAUGAAACCUACUACUAUACUCAGCUCUAAUUCUAAAUAUUACAAAGAAUUCAUAUUCUUUUGCUUUAGCCUUUAUGUUACAAAAUUCUGGAAGAUAUGAUAAAUUUGGUUUGGUACUUAAUUUAGUUAUAAUAUUAUACCUAGAGACAGAUAAAGAGACAUGUAAAUUGUAAGUUGUAAGUUGUAACCACUUGCCUUGAAGAAGAAAAAAUCCAUGAUAUUUUAUUCAUCUUCGACUUUCUGUGUUGUGUCCAAUUUUAGAACUUGCACUCUAUUUUCAUCCAUCCAAUUUCUUAAUUAGAAGACCUGGUUAAGAAAAUCAUGUUUGACUGCAGCACCAUAGUCAUUGUUUUUUUUUUUCUUCAUGUCACUGAAGCUUCUUGAAACCCCUGCCAAACAAAUUAAAGGAACUAAGUAUAAGAAAAUUUCGUUGUAAGAAAAUUCACAAUGCAAUGUAGUAGUGCUGUACUGUUGGAAACAGUAAUUGAUGAAAUUAUUAAAAUUUCAAAACAAACAUGCAUUAUAAUGUAUUGCAAAUGCUAUAUAUAUUGAGACAUUGGUCAAUAUAUAACACAACACGACAGAUCAAAUUACCCAAAAAAAAUAAUCUUUACCAGUGCUGCAGAAGUAGUUGCAAGAAAUUAAAUGUUCACUAAACAUAAACCACCUUAAGGAUAUGUGAUAUGCAUGUAACCAUAUAUAUAUCUAGGUAUUAUGCAUAGAUGUCACCACACUGUAAAUAGGUAAGAGAGGAAGAAGAAAACAAGGUGGUGACAGAAGUAUAGAGAGCACAAAAGAUUAGAGAUGCAGGCGGCUCUUUCUCUAGCUUAUCUCCUUCCCUCUCCAUCUCUCUCUCUCACUCUUGCAACAUAUAUGGUGUGAUGAAUGGUGAUAUAUAUGUAUGUACUUGCAUGUCAUCCUUAGUGCUCUCUAUCUUCUGUCAACAACCAACAUCACUCUCCAACCUAUACAUGUGUGAUAUGCAACAUCAUGAUAUGUAUGUAUAGCAUGUAUAUAUUUAGUGAUAUAUAUAUAGAUUAUAGGGAGUGUAUGAAGUGAUACAGGGAUAAUGGAGAGUAAUGUGUGUGUAUAUAGAGGAGUAAGUUGAGAGAGCUCCUCUCCACAGAAUGUACCAAAACGUUGACUCUUUCUACACCUCUACGUACACUCCCAUUCACACACAAAAAUAAAA
This 1249-nucleotide long non-coding RNA is filed under the name Capsella grandiflora. Its description in RNAcentral is "long non-coding RNA (CGRA_LNC000030)". The record is from RNAcentral. Lineage: Eukaryota; Viridiplantae; Streptophyta; Magnoliopsida; Brassicales; Brassicaceae.